This 1346-nucleotide ribosomal RNA is filed under the name uncultured bacterium. RNAcentral describes it as "partial 16S ribosomal RNA". It matches the Rfam family "Bacterial small subunit ribosomal RNA", at positions 28 to 1381 of the family's 1533-position model. The record is from RNAcentral.
GACGAACGCUGGCGGCGUGCUUAACACAUGCAAGUCGAACGGAAAGGCCCUGCUUUUGUGGGGUGCUCGAGUGGCGAACGGGUGAGUAACACGUGAGUAACCUGCCCUUGACUUUGGGAUAACUUCAGGAAACUGGGGCUAAUACCGGAUAGGAGCUCCUGCUGCAUGGUGGGGGUUGGAAAGUUUCGGCGGUUGGGGAUGGACUCGCGGCUUAUCAGCUUGUUGGUGGGGUAGUGGCUUACCAAGGCUUUGACGGGUAGCCGGCCUGAGAGGGUGACCGGCCACAUUGGGACUGAGAUACGGCCCAGACUCCUACGGGAGGCAGCAGUGGGGAAUAUUGCACAAUGGGCGGAAGCCUGAUGCAGCAACGCCGCGUGCGGGAUGACGGCCUUCGGGUUGUAAACCGCUUUCGCCUGUGACGAAGCGUGAGUGACGGUAAUGGGUAAAGAAGCACCGGCUAACUACGUGCCAGCAGCCGCGGUGAUACGUAGGGUGCGAGCGUUGUCCAGAUUUAUUGGGCGUAAAGGGCUCGUAGGUGGUUGAUCGCGUCGGAAGUGUAAUCUUGGGGCUUAACCCUGAGCGUGCUUUCGAUACGGGUUGACUUGAGGAAGGUAGGGGAGAAUGGAAUUCCUGGUGGAGCGGUGGAAUGCGCAGAUAUCAGGAGGAACACCAGUGGCGAAGGCGGUUCUCUGGGCCUUUCCUGACGCUGAGGAGCGAAAGCGUGGGGAGCGAACAGGCUUAGAUACCCUGGUAGUCCACGCUGUAAACGGUGGGUACUAGGUGUGGGGUCCAUUCCACGGGUUCCGUGCCGUAGCUAACGCUUUAAGUACCCCGCCUGGGGAGUACGGCCGCAAGGCUAAAACUCAAAGGAAUUGACGGGGCCCCGCACAAGCGGCGGAGCAUGCGGAUUAAUUCGAUGCAACGCGUAGAACCUUACCUGGGUUUGACAUGGAUCGGGAGUGCUCAGAGAUGGGUGUGCCUCUUUUGGGGUCGGUUCACAGGUGGUGCAUGCCUGUCGUCAGCUCGUGUCGUGAGAUGUUGGGUUAAGUCCCGCAACGAGCGCAACCCUUGUUCACUGUUGCCAGCACGUUAUGGUGGGGACUCAGUGGAGACCGCCGGGGUCAACUCGGAGGAAGGUGGGGAUGACGUCAAGUCAUCAUGCCCCUUAUGUCCAGGGCUUCACGCAUGCUACAAUGGCUGGUACAGAGAGUGGCGAGCCUGUGAGGGUGAGCGAAUCUCGGAAAGCCGGUCUCAGUUCGGAUUGGGGUCUGCAACUCGACCUCAUGAAGUCGGAGUCGCUAGUAAUCGCAGAUCAGCAACGCUGCGGUGAAUACGUUCCCGGGGCU